This 434-nucleotide ribosomal RNA is filed under the name uncultured Lachnospiraceae bacterium. Its description in RNAcentral is "partial 16S ribosomal RNA". It matches the Rfam family "Bacterial small subunit ribosomal RNA", at positions 341 to 792 of the family's 1533-position model. Lineage: Bacteria; Bacillati; Bacillota; Clostridia; Lachnospirales; Lachnospiraceae. The record is from RNAcentral.
ACGGGAGGCAGCAGUGGGGGAUAUUGCACGAUGGGGGAAACCCUGAUGCAGCGACGCCGCGUGAGUGAAGAAGUAUUUCGGUAUGUAAAGCUCUAUCAGCAGGGAAGAAAAUGACGGUACCUGACUAAGAAGCUCCGGCUAAAUACGUGCCAGCAGCCGCGGUAAUACGUAUGGAGCAAGCGUUAUCCGGAUUUACUGGGUGUAAAGGGAGCGCAGACGGUUUGCCAAGUCUGAUGUGAAAGCUAGGGGCUUAACCCCUAAACUGCAUUGGAAACUGGUAGACUAGAGUGUCGGAGAGGUAAGUGGAAUUCCUAGUGUAGCGGUGAAAUGCGUAGAUAUUAGGAGGAACACCAGUGGCGAAGGCGGCUUACUGGACGAUAACUGACGUUGAGGCUCGAAAGCGUGGGGAGCAAACAGGAUUAGAUACCCUGGUA